CGAUCGCUAUAGGGGUAGGGCUAAGCCAUGGGAGUCGUACGCUCUCGGGAAGAGGGCGUGGCGGACGGCUGAGUAACACGUGGCUAACCUGCCCUUGGGAUCCGGAUAACCCCGGGAAACUGGGGCUAAUCCGGAAUAGGUAAGGGGCUCUGGAACGACUCCUUGCCUAAAGGCUCCUCGGCUGAUCCCGUCGGGGGGCGCCCAAGGAUGGGGCUGCGGCCCAUCAGGCUGUUGGCGGGGUAAAGGCCCGCCAAACCGAUAACGGUAGGGGCCGUGGGAGCGGGAGCCCCCAGUUGGGCACUGAGACAAGGGCCCAGGCCCUACGGGGCGCACCAGGCGCGGAAAGUCCCCAAUGCGGGAAACCGUGAGGGCGUUACCCCUAGUGCCCUCGCAAGAGGGCUUUUCCCCACUUUAGAACGGUGGGGGAAUAAGCGGGGGGCAAGACUGGUGUCAGCCGCUGCGGUAAUACCAGCCCCGCGAGUGAUCGAGACGUUUAUUGGGCUUAAAGCGUCCGUAGCCGGCCUUGUAAGUUCUCCCUUAAAUGGUAUGGCUCAACCAUACCGUUGGGGAGAAUACUGCAAGGCUAGGGGGCGGGAGAGGCGGGUGGUAGUUGAGGGGUAGUGGCAAAAUACGAUAAUCCCUCAAGGACCACCAGUGGCGGAGGCGACCCGCUAGAACGCGCCCGACGGUGAGGGACGAAAGCUGGGGGAGCAAAAGGGAUUAGAUACCCCUGUAGUCCCGGCUGUAAACGAUGCGGGCUAGGUGUCGCGUGGGCUUUGAGCCCACGCGGUGCCGCAGGAAAACUGGUAAGCCCGCCGCCUGGGGAGUACGGCCGCAAGGCUGAAACUUAAAGGAAUUGGCGGGGGAGCACCACAAGGGGUGGAACCUGCGGCUCAAUUGGAGUCAACGCCUGGAAUCUCACCGGGGGAGACCGCAGGAUGACGGCCAGGCUAACGACCUUGCCAGACUCGCGGAGAGGAGGUGCAUGGCCGUCGCCAGCUCGUGUUGUGAAAUGUCCGGUUAAGUCCGGCAACGAGCGAGACCCUCGUCUCCAGUUGCGACCAGGACCCAUUGGGUCCUGGGCACACUGGAGAGACUGCCAGCGCUAAGCUGGAGGAAGGAGGGGGCUACGGCAGGUCAGUAUGCCCCGAAACCCCUGGGCUACACGCGGCCUGCAAUGGUGGGGACAAUGGGUUCCGAACCCGAAAGGGGGAGGUAAUCCCAUAAAACCCCACCUCAGUUGGGAUCGAGGGCUGCAACUCGCCCUCGUGAACGUGGAAUCCCUAGUAACCGCGUGUCAUCAUCGCGCGGUGAAUACGUCCCUGCUCCUU
RNAcentral lists this ribosomal RNA (1331 nucleotides) under uncultured archaeon. RNAcentral describes it as "16S ribosomal RNA". It matches the Rfam family "Archaeal small subunit ribosomal RNA", at positions 24 to 1338 of the family's 1478-position model. The record is from RNAcentral.